GAUGAACGCUAGCGGCAGGCCUAAUACAUGCAAGUCGAACGAGAUUAAGAGGCUUGCUUCUUAUGAAAGUGGCGCACGGGUGCGUAACGCGUAUGCAACCUACCUUAAUCAGGGGGAUAGCCCGAAGAAAUUCAGAUUAAGACCGCAUAAAAACACAGGAUAGCAUUAUCCAAUGUUCAAAUAUUUAUAGGAUUAAGAUGGGCAUGCGUGUCAUUAGCUAUUUGGCGGGGUAACGGCCCACCAAGGCGACGAUGACUAGGGGAUCUGAGGGGAUGACCCCCCACACUGGAACUGAGACACGGACCAGACUCCUACGGGAGGCAGCAGUAAGGAAUAUUGGUCAAUGGAGGGAACUCUGAACCAGCCAUGCCGCGUGCAGGAAGACAGCCCUCUGGGUCGUAAACUGCUUUUAUUCGGGAAUAAACCUUUCUACGUGUAGGAAGCUGAAUGUACCGAAGGAAUAAGGAUCGGCUAACUCCGUGCCAGCCGCCGCGGUAA
This 498-nucleotide ribosomal RNA is filed under the name uncultured bacterium. Its description in RNAcentral is "partial 16S ribosomal RNA". It matches the Rfam family "Bacterial small subunit ribosomal RNA", at positions 28 to 523 of the family's 1533-position model. The record is from RNAcentral.